RNAcentral lists this ribosomal RNA (385 nucleotides) under uncultured bacterium. Its description in RNAcentral is "bacterial SSU rRNA". It matches the Rfam family "Bacterial small subunit ribosomal RNA", at positions 29 to 416 of the family's 1533-position model. The record is from RNAcentral.
ACGAACGCUGGCGGCGUGCUUAACACAUGCAAGUCGAGCGGUAAGGCCCUUCGGGGUACACGAGCGGCGAACGGGUGAGUAACACGUGGGUGACCUGCCCUUAGCUCUGGGAUAAGCCUGGGAAACUGGGUCUAAUACCGGAUAUGACCUCAUGACGCAUGUUGUGGGGUGGAAAGCCUUGUGCGGCUAGGGAUGGGCCCGCGGCCUAUCAGCUUGUUGGUGGGGUGAUGGCCUACCAAGGCGACGACGGGUAGCCGGCCUGAGAGGGCGACCGGCCACACUGGGACUGAGACACGGCCCAGACUCCUACGGGAGGCAGCAGUGGGGAAGUCUUGCGCAAUGGGCGAAAGCCUGACGCAGCGACGCCGCGUGAGGGAUGACGGCC